AACGAACGCUGGCGGCAGGCCUAACACAUGCAAGUCGAACGUGAAGCCACCUUCGGGUGGUGGAAAGUGGCAGACGGGUGAGUAACGCGUGGGAACGUGCCUUUCGGUUCGGAAUAACCCAGGGAAACUUGGGCUAAUACCGGAUACGCCCUUCGGGGGAAAGAUUCAUCGCCGAAAGAUCGGCCCGCGUCGGAUUAGCUAGUUGGUAGGGUAAUGGCCUACCAAGGCGACGAUCCGUAGCUGGUCUGAGAGGAUGACCAGCCACACUGGGACUGAGACACGGCCCAGACUCCUACGGGAGGCAGCAGUGGGGAAUAUUGGACAAUGGGCGAAAGCCUGAUCCAGCCAUGCCGCGUGGGUGAAGAAGGCCCUAGGGUCGUAAACCCCUUUCAGCGGGGAAGAUAAUGACGGUACCCGCAGAAGAAGCCCCGGCUAACUCCGUGCCAGCAGCCGCGGUAA
RNAcentral lists this ribosomal RNA (459 nucleotides) under uncultured bacterium. RNAcentral's name for it is "partial 16S ribosomal RNA". It matches the Rfam family "Bacterial small subunit ribosomal RNA", at positions 29 to 523 of the family's 1533-position model. The record is from RNAcentral.